Molecule: non-coding RNA, 28 nt
Filed under: Rattus norvegicus (Norway rat)
Lineage: Eukaryota; Metazoa; Chordata; Mammalia; Rodentia; Muridae
Source: RNAcentral
UCAUUGUUCCCCAGGGAGGCCUUGAAAC